This 440-nucleotide ribosomal RNA is filed under the name uncultured bacterium. RNAcentral describes it as "partial 16S ribosomal RNA". It matches the Rfam family "Bacterial small subunit ribosomal RNA", at positions 338 to 795 of the family's 1533-position model. The record is from RNAcentral.
CCUACGGGUGGCAGCAGUGGGGAAUAUUGCUCAAUGGCGGAGAGCCUGAACCAGCCACGCCGCGUGGAGGAUGACGGUUCUCCGGUUGUUAAAUCUUUUUGUUCGAGGAGCUAAUGGCGCUAUGUAACGCAUAAGCACCGGCUACCUCCGUUCAAGGAGCGGUGGUACUGCGGCGGGUGCAAGCGUUAUUCGGAAUCACUGGGCGUAAAGGGCGUGUAGGCGGGAUAGCAAGUCAGAGGUGAAAUCCUAUGGUCUAACCAUAGAACUGCAGUUGAAACUGUGAUGCUAGAGUAUGGGAGAGGUAGGUGGAAUUCUUGGUGUAGGGGUAAAAUCCGUAGAGAUUAAGAGGAAUACUCAUUGCGAAGGCGACCUGCUAGAACAUAACUGACGCUGAGGCUCGAAAGCGUGGGGAGCAAACAGGAUUAGAUACCCGGGUAGUC